ACAGUGGGUGAGUCACAUCAGCAGCAUCAAGACAAGACAAGUUACACACAGAAAUGCUGAACAUUUUCUCAAGUAAUCCUCACCCCUGUCUCACAGAGAAGAAAUGGAGGCUCAGAGACGUUUUGAUAUGCCCAAGGACCGUGAGAAGACUGGAGCAUGGGGCUGGGGAUGCACCAGGGCUGGGAGACAGGGGCGAGCAUCCCCACAGUCAUGGAUGGCAGGGAGGCCGCGCUGCAGAGCUAUUAAAACAUGGCCUCUGACUUGGCGAUGCGGGCUCUUUUUUGGUUCCAUAUGAACUUUAAAGUAGUUUUUUCCAAUUCUGUGAAGAAAGUCAUUGGUAGCUUGAUGGGGAUAGCAUUGAAUCUAUGAAUUACCUUGGGCAGUAUGGCCAUUUUCAUGAUAUUGAUUCUUCCUACCCAUGAGCAUGCAAUGUUCUUCCAUUUGUUUGUAUCCUCUUUUAUUUCAUUGAGCAGUGGUUUGUAGUUCUCCUUGAAGAGGUCCUUCACAUCCCUUGUAAGUUGGAUUCCUAGGUAUUUGAUU
RNAcentral lists this long non-coding RNA (540 nucleotides) under Homo sapiens (human). Its description in RNAcentral is "novel transcript". Lineage: Eukaryota; Metazoa; Chordata; Mammalia; Primates; Hominidae. The record is from RNAcentral.